This 253-nucleotide ribosomal RNA is filed under the name uncultured bacterium. Its description in RNAcentral is "partial 16S ribosomal RNA". It matches the Rfam family "Bacterial small subunit ribosomal RNA", at positions 524 to 776 of the family's 1533-position model. The record is from RNAcentral.
UACGUAGGGUGCAAGCGUUGUCCGGAAUUAUUGGGCGUAAAGAGCUCGUAGGCGGUCUGUCGCGUCGGCUGUGAAAACCCGGAGCUCAACUCCGGGCCUGCAGUCGAUACGGGCAAACUGGAGUGUUGCAGGGGAGACUGGAAUUCCUGGUGUAGCGGUGGAAUGCGCAGAUAUCAGGAGGAACACCAAUAGCGAAGGCAGCUCGCUGGGACGUUACUGACACUGAGGCGCGAAAGCCAGGGGAGCAAACGGG